AAGAUACCACUAAAAGUUAAAGUCUUCAUGUGGUAUCUUCGUAGGGGAGUUGUGCUAACCAAAGACAACCUCGCACGGCGCAAUUGGCAAGGGAGUAAGAAGUGUUGUUUUUCUCAUGAUGAGACAAUCAGACACCUCUUUUUCCAAUGCAACUUUGCACGUUCUUUGUGGUCAGUCAUCCAAAUAGCGUCAAAUUUAUAUCCGCCCACAAGUGUUGCCAAAAAAUUUGGUCAUUGGUUGGACGGUAUUUCAAAUAGGUUCAAAACGCUAUUGAGGGUGGGAGCGUAUGCUUAA
RNAcentral lists this ribosomal RNA (294 nucleotides) under Triticum aestivum (bread wheat). RNAcentral's name for it is "partial small subunit ribosomal RNA". Lineage: Eukaryota; Viridiplantae; Streptophyta; Magnoliopsida; Poales; Poaceae. The record is from RNAcentral.